AUUGAACGCUGGCGGCAUGCUUUACACAUGCAAGUCGAACGGUAACAGGCCUUCGGGUGCUGACGAGUGGCGAACGGGUGAGUAAUGCAUCGGAACGUGCCCAGAGGUGGGGGAUAACGCAGCGAAAGCUGUGCUAAUACCGCAUGUGAUCUGAGGAUGAAAGCGGGGGACCAGGCAGCAAUGUUUGGCCUCGCGCCUUUGGAGCGGCCGAUGUCAGAUUAGGUAGUUGGUGGGGUAAAGGCCUACCAAGCCGACGAUCUGUAGCUGGUCUGAGAGGACGACCAGCCACACUGGGACUGAGACACGGCCCAGACUCCGACGGGAGGCAGCAGUGGGGAAUUUUGGACAAUGGGCGCAAGCCUGAUCCAGCAAUGCCGCGUGCGGGAAGAAGGCCUUCGGGUUGUAAACCGCUUUUGUACGGAACGAAAAGGCUCUGGCUAAUACCUGGGGCUGAUGACGGUACCGUAAGAAUAAGCACCGGCUAACUACGU
This 491-nucleotide ribosomal RNA is filed under the name uncultured bacterium. RNAcentral's name for it is "partial 16S ribosomal RNA". It matches the Rfam family "Bacterial small subunit ribosomal RNA", at positions 30 to 506 of the family's 1533-position model. The record is from RNAcentral.